RNAcentral lists this ribosomal RNA (624 nucleotides) under uncultured bacterium. RNAcentral describes it as "bacterial SSU rRNA". It matches the Rfam family "Bacterial small subunit ribosomal RNA", at positions 338 to 1429 of the family's 1533-position model. The record is from RNAcentral.
CCUACGGGAGGCAGCAGUAAGGAAUAUUGGUCAAUGGACGAAAGUCUGAACCAGCCAUGCCGCGUGAAGGAUUAAGGCCCUCUGGGUUGUAAACUUCUUUUAUCUGGGACGAAAAAAGGGUAUUCUUACUCACUUGACGGUACCAGAGGAAUAAGCACCGGCUAACUCCGUGCCAGCAGCCGCGGUAAUACGGAGGGUGCAAGCGUUAUCCGGAUUUACUGGGUCUAAAGGGUGCGUAGGUGGGCUUGUAAGUCAGUGGUGAAAUCUCCGGGCUUAACCCGGAAACUGCCAUUGAUACUAUGGGUCUUGAAUUAUCUGGAGGUAAGCGGAAUAUGUCAUGUAGCGGUGAAAUGCUUAGAUAUGACAUAGAACACCAAUUGCGAAGGCAGCUUACUACGGAUAUAUUGACACUGAGGCACGAAAGCGUGGGGAUACAAACAGGAUUAGAUACCCUGGUAGUCCACGCCCUAAACGAUGGAUACUCGACAUCAGCGAUACACUGUUGGUGUCUGAGCGAAAGCAUUAAGUAUCCCACCUGGGAAGUACGAUCGCAAGUAUUAGAAACUACGAAAGGUUAAGUUAGACGGCGNGAGACGNGACGACGGACGACGACGAGGGAGGAGG